CCUACGGGAGGCAGCAGUGAGGAAUAUUGGUCAAUGGGCGAGAGCCUGAACCAGCCAAGUCGCGUGAAGGAUGACGGCCCUACGGGUUGUAAACUUCUUUUGUCAGGGAGCAAUUGAGUCCACGUGUGCUCUUAUCGAGAGUACCUGUAGAAAAAGCAUCGGCUACCUCCGUGCCACCAGCCGCGGUAUUAGGGGGGAUGCGAGCGUUAUCCGGAUUUAUGGGGUUUAAAGGGUGCGUAGGCGGAAUAUCAAGUCAGCGGUAAAAAUUCGGGGCUCAACCCAGUCGUGCCGUUGAAACUGAUGGUCUUGAGUGGGCGAGAGGUAUGCGGAAUGCGUGGUGUAGCGGUGAAAUGCAUAGAUAUCACGCAGAACUCCGAUUGCGAAGGCAGCAUACC
This 395-nucleotide ribosomal RNA is filed under the name uncultured bacterium. Its description in RNAcentral is "partial 16S ribosomal RNA". It matches the Rfam family "Bacterial small subunit ribosomal RNA", at positions 338 to 730 of the family's 1533-position model. The record is from RNAcentral.